Molecule: ribosomal RNA, 482 nt
Filed under: uncultured bacterium
Lineage: Bacteria
Description: partial 16S ribosomal RNA
Rfam family: Bacterial small subunit ribosomal RNA
Source: RNAcentral
AUUGAACGCUGGCGGCAGGCCUAACACAUGCAAGUCGAGCGGAUGAAGGGAGCUUGCUCCUGGAUUCAGCGGCGGACGGGUGAGUAAUGCCUAGGAAUCUGCCUGGUAGUGGGGGAUAACGUCCGGAAACGGGCGCUAAUACCGCAUACGUCCUGAGGGAGAAAGUGGGGGAUCUUCGGACCUCACGCUAUCAGAUGAGCCUAGGUCGGAUUAGCUAGUUGGUGGGGUAAAGGCCUACCAGGCGACGAUCCGUAACUGGUCUGAGAGGAUGAUCAGUCACACUGGAACUGAGACACGGUCCAGACUCCUACGGGAGGCAGCAGUGGGGAAUAUUGGACAAUGGGCGAAAGCCUGAUCCAGCCAUGCCGCGUGUGUGAAGAAGGUCUUCGGAUUGUAAAGCACUUUAAGUUGGGAGGAAGGGCAGUAAGUUAAUACCUUGCUGUUUUGACGUUACCAACAGAAUAAGCACCGGCUAACUUCGU